RNAcentral lists this ribosomal RNA (590 nucleotides) under uncultured bacterium. RNAcentral describes it as "partial 16S ribosomal RNA". It matches the Rfam family "Bacterial small subunit ribosomal RNA", at positions 355 to 1376 of the family's 1533-position model. The record is from RNAcentral.
UGGGGAAUCUUGCGCAAUGGGCGAAAGCCUGACGCAGCGACGCCGCGUGGGGGAGGAAGCUCUUCGGAGUGUAAACCCCUGUCAGGAGGGAAGAAUGGGCACCCGAGGAAAUGCGGGUGUUUUGACGGUACCUCCAAAGGAAGCACCGGCUAACUCUGUGCCAGCAGCCGCGGUAAUACAGAGGGUGCGAGCGUUGUUCGGAAUUACUGGGCGUAAAGCGCGCGCAGGCGGUCCUUUAAGUCUACCCGUGAAAUGCCGGAGCUCAACUCCGUGCACGCCGGGGGAUACUGGAGGACUGGAGACGAGUAGAGGCAAGCGGAAUUCCGGGUGUAGCGGUGGAAUGCGUAGAUAUCCGGAAGAACACCGGAGGCGAAGGCGGCUUGCUGGGCUUGGUCUGACGCUGAGGCGCGAAAGCGUGGGGAGCGAACAGGGAUUAGAUACCCUGGUAGUCACGCCGUAAAACGAUGGGCACUAGACGCGGGUGGGAUCGACCCCUUCCGUGUGCAGCUAACGCCGCUAAGUGCCCCGCCUGGGGAGUACGGCCGCAAGGCUGAAACUAAAUGAAUUGACGGGGUCAUAGCUGUUUCCUG